Molecule: long non-coding RNA, 626 nt
Filed under: Homo sapiens (human)
Lineage: Eukaryota; Metazoa; Chordata; Mammalia; Primates; Hominidae
Description: HSALNT0296681
Source: RNAcentral
CAGCUGUUGGCCUGUACCUCGGCCCUCAAGUUUCCCAUGCAAUGUGCUUCCUACUAUUCAUUGUUGCCCCGUCUCUAGAAAAUAUGACACAAAUUGUGAAAAUGGUAUACAGCAGCUCAGCUUUGGGAAACGUGAGUCCUGUCUGCUUAUGGAUGUAUCGAUUCAUGGGUAUUACACUUGUCUCCCAAGUUGCUUGCUGAUGCUUUCAAGGUCAGGUAAUAACAUUCUCCAAGGAACUAAGCGGAGUGGCUGUCCUCAUUUCUCCCCUGACCUGCAGGCUGGCUGGCUGGUUGCCUUGCUUCUGGGAGAUGGCCAGGCAGCCUGUUGCUCCCUGUGCCCCUCACCGACCAGGCAGCUCACUCCCUUUGUGGCAGCCUCAUGUCAAAACCCAUCAGAAUAAGAGACUAUUAAUGAGGAUGGGAAGAGACAGAGAAAAGAGGGAAACACCACAGUAAGAUAAAAACAGAUCAAUAGUGAAGCUAAACAGAGCAAGAGGUUCUGAAAGCAAUUCAGGAGCUGUUAGCUUCUCAACAAACACAGGGUUUCUGAUAAUCUCAGAUGGACACAAAAAGGAGAGAGAUGGACAAAAAGCCAGAGAAGCACAUCAAUGGAAAGCAAUAAGGAGG